Molecule: long non-coding RNA, 2467 nt
Filed under: Volvox carteri
Lineage: Eukaryota; Viridiplantae; Chlorophyta; Chlorophyceae; Chlamydomonadales; Volvocaceae
Description: long non-coding RNA (VCAR_LNC003853)
Source: RNAcentral
CCGCAUUUUCCCCCUUUCCCCCCUCGUUUUGCCAUCCCCGGACUGCAGGCAUGGUGACGUUCGAACGAAUGCGUCGCCUAGGUUGCAGGGGGCCCCCGUCAUGCCCUUAAACACGCCCUCCUAACAAUUCUGCCCCGCCGCGUUUUCCCUCUUUCCCCCCUCGUUUUGCCAUCCCCCGACUGCAGCCAUGGUGACGUUCAAACGAAUGCGUCGCCUAGGUUGCAGGGGGCCCCCGUCAUACCCUUAAAUCGCCCUCCUAACCAUUCAGCUCCGCCACGUUUUACCCCUUUCCCCCCUCGUUUUGCCAUCCCCCGACUGCGGCCAUGAUGACGUUCAAACGAUGUCAGAAGUAGGCUGGGCAGGGAGGGUGUGCGCAUGGGAUGUGCCUGGCAUGCACCUUGAUGGGCCAGCAGCCUUGUACAGGCUGUGCACCCCAUCUGGUAGCGCUGGGUUGACCAGGUGUGCAUGGUGCAGGUGGCGAGCCAGCGCCUCCAUACAGGCGUAUGUUCCUCUGCCCCUGCAUUCUGGCAUCCUGUUGUUGUUGGAGGGGUUGCACUGUGUGGCUGUAAUGUGUCAGAAGUACAGGCGCGGCAGCGGCGGGAAAUAGCAACAGCAGCAGGCGCGGCGGCGGCGGGAAUUAGCAACGGAGUAGCAGCGGCAGCGACGAAGGUGGGGCUGGGAGGUGCAGUAGCCUAAACGGCAGGUGCGGCGGCGGCGGGAAAUAGCAACGCAGCAGCAGCGGCAGCGACGGUGUUGGGGCUGGGAGGUGCUGUAGCCUAAACGGCAGGCACGGCAGCGGCGGGAAAUAGCAACAGCAGCAGGCGCGGCGGCGGCGGGAAUUAGCAACGGAGUAGCAGCGGCAGCGACGAAGGUGGGGCUGGGAGGUGCAAUUGUCUGAACAACAGGCGCGGUGGCGGCGGGAAAUAGCAACAGCAGCAGGCGCGGCGGCGGUGGGAAUUAGCAACGGAGUAGCAGCGGCAGCAACGGUGGUGGGGCUGGGAGGUGCAUUAGUGAGGGCCUUUAUUUUACAAAAAUGGGCCACAUCCAAUUGGCCAUCCAAUCUUUUCUCUCUUCACUCUCUUCCAAGUGAUGUAGCCACAGAGAACAUACAAUCACUAUUUUGGUAUUGCUGUGGCUGCCAGUUCAACUCUGGCAUGGAAGUCAUUUUCCUUACUCUGACUAUAUACCUACUACUAUUAUACUAAAGGGUAGUACCAGUGCUACUAUAUACAUACAAGUAGUUGUAGUAGCAGCACAUACAAUAAAUCGCAAGUGUGAUGCCAUUUCGUGAAACAAAAUUUUCAAAAUUCUCGCCAGUCCAGAAAUGCAAGUCCAGCAGGCGCGGCGGCGGUGGGAAUUAGCAACGGAGUAGCAGCGGCAGCAACGGCGGUGGGGCUGGGAGGGCCAUUAGUCUCAACAGCAGGCACGGCGGCGGGGGGAAAUAGCAACAGCAGCAGGCGUGGCGGCGGCAGGAAUUAGCAACGGAGUAGCAGCGGCAGUGAUGAAGGUGGGGCUGGGAGGUGCAGUAGCCUAAACGGCAGGCGUGACGGCGGCGGGAAAUAGCAACGCAGCAGCAGCGGCAGUGAUGGCAGUGGGGCUGGGAGGUGCAGUAGCCUAAACGGCAGGCACGGCGGCGGCGGGAAAUAGCAACAGCAGCAGGCGCGGUGGCAGCGGGAAUUAGCAACGGAGUAGCAGCGGCAGCGACGAAGGUGGGGCUGGGAGGUACAGUAGCCUAAACGGCAGGUGCGGCGGCGGCGGGAAAUAGCAACGCAGCAGCAGCGGCAGUGACGGCGAAGGGGCUGGGAGGUGCAGUAGCCUAAAUGGCAGGCGCGGCAGCGGCGGGAAAUAGCAACAGCAGCAGGCGCGGCGGCGGUGGGAAUUAGCAACGGGGUAGCAGUGGCAGCGACGAAGGUGGGGCUGGGAGGUGCAGUAGCCUAAACGGCAGGUGCGGCGGCGGCAGGAAAUAGCAACGCAGCAGCAGCGGCAGCGACGGCGAAGGGGCUGGGAGGUGCAGUAGCCUAAAUGGCAGGCGCGGCGGCGGCGGGAAAUAGCAACAGCAGCAGGCGCGGCGGCGGCGGGAAUUAGCAACGGAGUAGCAGCGGCAGCGAUGAAGGUGGGGCUGGGAGGUGCAGUAGCCUAAACGGCAGGUGCGGCGGCGGCGGGAAAUAGCAACGCAGCAGCAGCGGCAGCGACGGCGUGGGGCUGGGAGGUGCAGUAGCCUAAACGGCAGGCACGGCAGCGGCGGGAAAUAGCAACAGCAGCAGGCGCGGCGGCGGCGGGAAUUAGCAACGGAGUAGCAGCGGCAGCGACGGCGGUGGGGCUGGGAGGGCCAUUAGUCUCAACAGCAGGCACGGCGGCGGGGGGAAAUAGCAACAGCAGCAGGCGUGGCGGCGGCAGGAAUUAGCAACGGAGUAGCAGCGGCAGUGAUGAAGGUGGGGCUGGGAGGUGCAGUAGCCUAAACGGCAGG